UGGGGAAUCUUGCACAAUGGAGGAAACUCUGAUGCAGCGAUGCCGCGUGAGUGAAGAAGGCCUUUGGGUUGUAAAGCUCUUUUGUAGGGGAAGAUAAUGACUGUACCCUAAGAAUAAGGUCCGGCUAACUUCGUGCCAGCAGCCGCGGUAAUACGAAGGGACCUAGCGUAGUUCGGAAUUACUGGGCGUAAAGCGCGCGUAGGCCGUUGAGUUAGUUAAUUGUGAAAUCCCAAAGCUUAACUUUGGAACUGCAAUUAAAACUGCUCGACUAGAGUUUGAUAGAGGAAAGCGGAAUACAUAGUGUAGAGGUGAAAUUCGUAGAUAUUAUGUAGAACACCAGUUGCGAAGGCGGCUUUCUGGAUCAACACUGACGCUGAGGCGCGAAAGUAUGGGUAGCAAAGAGG
RNAcentral lists this ribosomal RNA (404 nucleotides) under uncultured bacterium. RNAcentral describes it as "bacterial SSU rRNA". It matches the Rfam family "Bacterial small subunit ribosomal RNA", at positions 355 to 776 of the family's 1533-position model. RNAcentral also lists the same sequence under 1 other name. The record is from RNAcentral.